Molecule: ribosomal RNA, 373 nt
Filed under: uncultured Glomeromycotina
Lineage: Eukaryota; Fungi; Glomeromycota
Description: LSU rRNA
Source: RNAcentral
UUGAAAGGGAAACGAUUGAAGUCAGUCGUACCUGUGGGUAAUCAGCCUUUUGGGUGUGAUUUUGUGGAGUGUGAGGAGUUAAACGCCUUCAUGCCUGCAUAUUCGUGCACUUUGGGUGUAUUUACCCGUGUGGUAAGUUAACAUCAAUUUCGGUGGUCAUAAAAUGGCUGGAGGAAUGUAGCUUCGAUCUUGUAUUGAAGUGUUAUAGCCUUCGGUAGAUGUGAUGAUCGGGAUUGAGGAUUGCAACGGAUACCCCUCGGGGCUACCUGUCUGAUCUCUGAUCGUUGCUCUGGUGCCGAAAGCUUGCUUACGGUUAUCAAAGUCGAUGGUCAAUAGGUUAGAACGGGUUAAAUUCGUUAAGGAUGUUGACGUA